AUGGACGCCCUGCACUGCCCCCACCAGGAUUGCGCUGCCUUGCCCUGCCCGAUCGAUGCCGGCUACGUCGCUACACUCCCCACGGCCAGGCCCUCCUCCUUAGUGCAUGAUGAUGGUGAAGACUUUGCAGGUGUUCAGAGAAAUGAUGUGCUAUUCAAGGGGUUUGGGAGCACUAAUAAAGAAUCUCUUGCUGAACUUUUUGUACCACUAAUGAUUAAAAACAUGAUUAAGCCACAUGAUUCCAUCAUGUAG
RNAcentral lists this ribosomal RNA (252 nucleotides) under Triticum aestivum (bread wheat). RNAcentral describes it as "partial small subunit ribosomal RNA". The record is from RNAcentral. Lineage: Eukaryota; Viridiplantae; Streptophyta; Magnoliopsida; Poales; Poaceae.